Molecule: non-coding RNA, 729 nt
Filed under: Beta vulgaris subsp. vulgaris (sugar beet)
Lineage: Eukaryota; Viridiplantae; Streptophyta; Magnoliopsida; Caryophyllales; Amaranthaceae
Description: Bacterial large subunit ribosomal RNA
Rfam family: Bacterial large subunit ribosomal RNA
Source: Rfam by way of RNAcentral
ACACAGGUAGGUGAGACGAGUAGUCUAAGGCGCUCGGGAGAAUUCUGGUUAAGGAACUCUGCAAAUUGGCCCCGUAAGUUCGCGAUAAGGGGUGCCCCUGGCGGUUCACGCUGCUGGGGGUCCACAGUAAAUCGGCUCUAGCGACUGUUUAUCAAAAACACAGGACUCUGCUAACACGCAAGUGGAUGUAUAGAGUCUGACGCCUGCCCGGUGUGGUAGGUUAAGGAAGAGGGUUAGCGCAAGGCGAAGCUCGCGACCGAAGCCCCUAAACGGCGGCCGUAACUAUGACGGUCCUAAGGUAGCGAAGUUCCUUGUCGGGUAAGUUCCGACCUGCAUGAAUGGCGUAACGACAGAGCACUGUCUCAACCAGAAACCCGGUGAAAUUGUAGUCGUGGUGAAGAUGCCACGUUCCCGCAGUUAGACGGAAAGACCCCAUGAACCUUCACUGUAGGCUGAUAUUGGGUCUGUGGUAUGUCUGUGUAGAUAGUGGGAGGCUUGAAACGGGCGCGCUAGCGUUCGUGGAGCCAUCGUUGAAAUACCAGCCUUGUCAUGCUUUAAUUCUAACCCUAUGCCCUGAAUCGGGCUAGGGAACAGUGUCAGUUGGGCAGUUUGACUGGGGCGGUCUCCUCCUAAAGAGUAACGGAGGAGUACAAAGGUCCAUUCAGCUUGGUCGGCAAUCAAGCGUAGAGCGUAAAGGUAUAAGUGGGCUUAACUGCGAGAGACAUGACU